This 73-nucleotide transfer RNA is filed under the name Anaerolineaceae bacterium. Its description in RNAcentral is "tRNA-Arg". It matches the Rfam family "tRNA". Rfam says of the family: Transfer RNA (tRNA) molecules are approximately 80 nucleotides in length. RNAcentral also lists the same sequence under 1 other name. Lineage: Bacteria; Bacillati; Chloroflexota; Anaerolineae; Anaerolineales; Anaerolineaceae. The record is from RNAcentral.
GCCCCCAUAGCUCAGUGGAUAGAGCAACUGCCUUCUAAGCAGUCGGCCGCAGGUUCGAAUCCUGCUGGGGGUA